AAAAGCCAAUUUUAGUUCGUAACUUAGCAAAAUUAGCUAUAUCAUGAUCAACUCCGAAUAUUCCCAAAUGUUUACAUAAUCUUACAUAUAUUAACGCGAACUUCCAGUUUAAAUUUCGUGGUCAUCAGAAUUAUAGAACUCUAGUUAUAGCCGUUUCCGUAGGAAAAAUCCUAAAAUUGAAAUGGUCAUACCUCACUUGAUUUAAGUUGGAAUAAGCUCAACUUUGGACAUGAGCUUCUUUAUAUCAUAUAUUUUCAUUUCCCAAAAGGCCUGAAUUUAUUUCAAAAUUUAAAUUGCCGAAAAUGCCCCUGGAAGUAUUUAGACAGAUUGCAUUUUGGUAUUUCCAGAUUUUGCCUACUUUACUAAAAACUGUCCAUACGGAAAUCUACAAGGAAUUUUUCAGUGAUUCCACUUGGAGAUAUUAGAUAUCACAUGGAUCUAACACAUUUUUUUUUGACGGAUCUCAAAAAUAAGUUGUAGAUUUCAAAUGGUGAAGGUCCAAAGUGGACUAAAAUUUAGGGCUUUCGAGUAUAAAAACUAUUUCGGUUCUUCUUCUUUGUUCAAGCUCAUCAACCCUAAAAAUGGCAAGAUAUAAGCAUUAAACAUCAAAUAUUAUGUAGAUAUACCCUCAUAUGGUUCAAGAUCAUAAGUUCAAAAUUGGAUCUAAAACAACCAUAACAAAACACAUUAAACUAACUAGAGUUUUGAGUUUAGGAGAUUUUAUACCUUUAGUGUUCAAUCUUCCUCUUGAUUUCUUCUUCCUCUCUUCUCUUCUUCCUCUCUCAAGCUCUCAAGCUCUCAAGCUUUCAAUAAGGUUUUUGGGUGAGAGUUAUGGAGAAAUCUAUGGUUUUUUCUUUCC
Molecule: long non-coding RNA, 859 nt
Filed under: Panax ginseng (ginseng)
Lineage: Eukaryota; Viridiplantae; Streptophyta; Magnoliopsida; Apiales; Araliaceae
Description: long non-coding RNA (PGIN_LNC012752)
Source: RNAcentral